RNAcentral lists this ribosomal RNA (392 nucleotides) under uncultured bacterium. RNAcentral's name for it is "partial 16S ribosomal RNA". It matches the Rfam family "Bacterial small subunit ribosomal RNA", at positions 523 to 918 of the family's 1533-position model. The record is from RNAcentral.
AUACGGAGGAUCCGAGCGUUAUCCGGAUUUAUUGGGUUUAAAGGGUGCGCAGGCGGCCAUUUAAGUCAGCGGUUAAAUCGUGGGGCUCAACCCCAUUCUGCCGUUGAUACUGGGUGGCUUGACUGCGGUCGAGGUUGGCGGAAUUCGUUGUGUGGCGGUGAAAUGCAUAGAUAUGACGAAGAAUACCGAUUGCGUAGGCAGCUGACCAGACCGCAAAUGACGCUCAUGCACGAAAGUGCGGGGAUCGAACAGGAUUAGAUACCCUGGUAGUCCGCACAGUAAACGAUGAAUACUUGUUUUCGGCGAUAUAAUGUCGGAGGCAAAGCGAAAGCGAUAAGUAUUCCACCUGGGGAGUACGCCGGCAACGGUGAAACUCAAAGGAAUUGACGGGG